Molecule: microRNA, 22 nt
Filed under: Scyliorhinus torazame (cloudy catshark)
Lineage: Eukaryota; Metazoa; Chordata; Chondrichthyes; Carcharhiniformes; Scyliorhinidae
Description: Sto-Mir-15-P1d_5p (mature (guide))
Source: RNAcentral
CAGCAGCACACCAUGGUUUGCA